RNAcentral lists this long non-coding RNA (202 nucleotides) under Capsicum annuum. Its description in RNAcentral is "long non-coding RNA (CANN_LNC013114)". The record is from RNAcentral. Lineage: Eukaryota; Viridiplantae; Streptophyta; Magnoliopsida; Solanales; Solanaceae.
GGGGAUGCGGUCAAACGUGGCAUUGAGAUUGGUGGUAGCCAUGGUACCUAAAAUAAAAGACAACAACGAACAACAAAACAAAGAAACUUGUUAGUUCAAAAAUGCCUCACUACACUCUCACUCUCAAUUUUUACCUCACACUUGGUUUCACAAGUGUUGAAAGUCGGCUUGUACUUCGUGAGUAAUUGAGGGAGGAGUCCAC